RNAcentral lists this ribosomal RNA (253 nucleotides) under uncultured bacterium. RNAcentral's name for it is "partial 16S ribosomal RNA". It matches the Rfam family "Bacterial small subunit ribosomal RNA", at positions 524 to 776 of the family's 1533-position model. The record is from RNAcentral.
UACGUAGGGUGCAAGCGUUGUCCGGAAUUAUUGGGCGUAAAGAGCGUGUAGGCGGCCUGAAAGGUCAGCUGUGAAAACUCGAGGCUCAACCUCGAGACGUCGGUUGAAACCAUCUGGCUAGAGUCCGGAAGAGGAGAGUGGAAUUCCCGGUGUAGCGGUGAAAUGCGCAGAUAUCGGGAAGAGCACCCGUGGCGAAGGCGGCUCUCUGGGACGGUACUGACGCUGAGACGCGAAAGCGUGGGGAGCGAACAGG